This 429-nucleotide ribosomal RNA is filed under the name Acidobacteriota bacterium. RNAcentral describes it as "Acidobacteria bacterium partial 16S ribosomal RNA". It matches the Rfam family "Bacterial small subunit ribosomal RNA", at positions 355 to 776 of the family's 1533-position model. The record is from RNAcentral. Lineage: Bacteria; Pseudomonadati; Acidobacteriota.
UGGGGAAUUUUGGACAAUGGGGGAAACCCUGAUCCAGCCAUCCCGCGUGUGCGAUGAAGGCCUUCGGGUUGUAAAGCACUUUUGGCAGGAAAGAAACGUCAUGGGUUAAUACCCCGUGAAACUGACGGUACCUGCAGAAUAAGCACCGGCUAACUACGUGCCAGCAGCCGCGGUAAUACGUAGGGUGCAAGCGUUAAUCGGAAUUACUGGGCGUAAAGCGUGCGCAGGCGGUUCGGAAAGAAAGAUGUGAAAUCCCAGAGCUAAACUUUGGAACUGCAUUUUUAACUACCGGGCUAGAGUGUGUCAGAGGGAGGUGGAAUUCCGCGUGUAGCAGUGAAAUGCGUAGAUAUGCGGAGGAACACCGAUGGCGAAGGCAGCCUCCUGGGAUAACACUGACGCUCAUGCACGAAAGCGUGGGGAGCAAACAGG